CGUACACGGUGGAUGCCCUGGCAGUCAGAGGCGAUGAAGGACGUGCUAAUCUGCGAUAAGCGUCGGUAAGGUGAUAUGAACCGUUAUAACCGGCGAUUUCCGAAUGGGGAAACCCAGUGUGAUUCGUCACACUAUCAUUAACUGAAUCCAUAGGUUAAUGAGGCGAACCGGGGGAACUGAAACAUCUAAGUACCCCGAGGAAAAGAAAUCAACCGAGAUUCCCCCAGUAGCGGCGAGCGAACGGGGAG
Molecule: ribosomal RNA, 248 nt
Filed under: Escherichia coli
Lineage: Bacteria; Pseudomonadati; Pseudomonadota; Gammaproteobacteria; Enterobacterales; Enterobacteriaceae
Description: partial 23S ribosomal RNA
Rfam family: Bacterial large subunit ribosomal RNA
Source: RNAcentral